GGGCGAUUGGCACAGUGGUAGCGCGCUACCUUCACACGGUAGAUGUCGCAGGUUCAAAUCCUGCAUCGCCCA
RNAcentral lists this transfer RNA (72 nucleotides) under Oscillatoriales cyanobacterium. RNAcentral's name for it is "tRNA-Val". It matches the Rfam family "tRNA". Rfam says of the family: Transfer RNA (tRNA) molecules are approximately 80 nucleotides in length. Their secondary structure includes four short double-helical elements and three loops (D, anti-codon, and T loops). Lineage: Bacteria; Bacillati; Cyanobacteriota; Cyanophyceae; Oscillatoriales. RNAcentral also lists the same sequence under 17 other names. The record is from RNAcentral.